This 450-nucleotide ribosomal RNA is filed under the name uncultured bacterium. RNAcentral describes it as "partial 16S ribosomal RNA". It matches the Rfam family "Bacterial small subunit ribosomal RNA", at positions 354 to 796 of the family's 1533-position model. The record is from RNAcentral.
GUGGGGAAUCUUCCGCAAUGGACGAAAGUCUGACGGAGCAACGCCGCGUGAGUGAUGAAGGUCUUCGGAUUGUAAAGCUCUGUUAAUCGGGACGAAAGAGCCUAGUGUGAAUAAUGCUAGGAAGUGACGGUACCGGAAUAGAAAGCCACGGCUAACUACGUGCCAGCAGCCGCGGUAAUACGUAGGUGGCAAGCGUUGUCCGGAAUUAUUGGGCGUAAAGCGCGCGCAGGCGGAUCUGCCAGUCUGUCUUAAAAGUUCGGGGCUUAACCCCGUGAUGGGAUGGAAACUACAGAUCUAGAGUAUCGGAGAGGAAAGUGGAAUUCCUAGUGUAGCGGUGAAAUGCGUAGAUAUUAGGAAGAACACCAGUGGCGAAGGCGACUUUCUGGACUGUAACUGACGCUGAGGCUCGAAAGCCAGGGGAGCGAACGGGAUUAGAUACCCAAGUAGUCC